RNAcentral lists this long non-coding RNA (241 nucleotides) under Phoenix dactylifera (date palm). Its description in RNAcentral is "long non-coding RNA (PDAC_LNC012404)". Lineage: Eukaryota; Viridiplantae; Streptophyta; Magnoliopsida; Arecales; Arecaceae. The record is from RNAcentral.
UCGGAAUCGAUAUCAGAAAUCGCCUCGUCAUAGGUUUUGGGAUCUUGUAUGUGAUCCCUAUCUCCCACUAGGAACAUUUCCUCGGUAUCCUCUUCUAGUAUACCUAAGUAUCUAUCGGGAGGAUGGGAGACCCUACUAGAUCUGCGAGGUGAUUGAGAGACAUCGUGUACUGGCUUAAUAUAAAUAGGUUCUAUAGGCACAAUGGUUCGUUGCUAUUUAGAGACUUUCUCUUCAAGCUCAA